AUAAACUUUAACCGAGUGUUCACUGUAUAUAACCUUAAAUAAAAUUAUUUUAUAGUAGUAAAAGAGAUAGAAAAGAAAAAAUAUUUAAAGUAAAUGAAAAUGAGUGGAAGGGAGUAAAGGAAAGGAUGAGUAAGAAGCGGUACCUUUUGUAUAAUGACUUAUUAAGAUAUACCUUAAAUGGAGGGGUGCCCGAAAAUAAAGGAUCUACUAGAGUUAGUUAAUAUUGUUGCAGAAAUUUGGAAAAGCUUUAGUAGGAGUAAGAUGCUUUUCGUUUUUAUAGAUAGCUGGUUGGUGGGGAAAAAAGUAUUGCUUUUCGGGGUGUAUCCUAGCUGGACAAGAGGGGUAAGCUCUCUUGUUUUAAUUUGAUAAGAGAAAUAUGGUAGUAAAAAUUUAGGCUUGAAAGUAGCUAUCAUUAGUAUGUUUUAUAACAUAUUUAUUAAUUUUGUACAAAAUUUUUAAUUUAAUAAAUUUACCUUCUUUCCAUUGGAAACUCAGUUAUGUGAUAACUCUGGUAAGAUUAGUAUUGAGUGUUAAUAAGUUUUUUCGUAGAAAAAUUAAUUAUAAGCAAAAAAAUAGAAUUGCUAGGAAUGAAUUCGGCAACAGGAGUUUCGAAUGUUUACCAAAAACAUUGUUUUUUGUGAUUAUAAAAAAUAGAGCCUGCUCAAUGAUAUAUUAAAUAGCCGUGGUAUUUUGACCAUGCUAAGGUAGCAUAAUCAUUUGGCUAUUAAUUGUGGUCUGGAAUGAAAGGUUGAACGAAAACUCCGCUUUAUGUGUAUAGCAAUUAAUAGAAAUUUACUUUUAGGUGAAGAGGCCUAGAUAUAAGAGAAGGACAAGAAGACCCUAUCGAGCUUUUUUAUACAGAUAUAUAUAUAUAAUUAUUAGUAGAGAUUUGGUUGGGGCAACCUUGGAAUUAACUUCCUAUACGCAGUGGUUUAUAAAAGAUGAGAGAGAAUUUUUACAUACAGAGUAAGUUACCGUAGGGAUAACAGCGUUAUUUUUUUUGAGAGUUCUUAUCGAAAAAAUUUUUUGCGACCUCGAUGUUGGAUUAAGGGUGCCGCAGGGAGUAGAAGAUCUGUUAGGCCGGUCUGUUCGACCGUUAAAUCUUUACAUGAUCUGAGUUCAGACCGGCGUGAGCCAGGUUGGUUUCUAUCCUCUCUUUUUGACUUUUGUAGGAUUAGUACGAAAGGAGAAUUCUAUUUUUUU
RNAcentral lists this ribosomal RNA (1203 nucleotides) under Scutopus robustus. Its description in RNAcentral is "16S ribosomal RNA". The stretch from base 798 to 1203 matches the Rfam family "Bacterial large subunit ribosomal RNA", at positions 2048 to 2706 of the family's 2925-position model. Lineage: Eukaryota; Metazoa; Mollusca; Caudofoveata; Limifossorida; Scutopodidae. The record is from RNAcentral.